RNAcentral lists this ribosomal RNA (613 nucleotides) under uncultured bacterium. Its description in RNAcentral is "bacterial SSU rRNA". It matches the Rfam family "Bacterial small subunit ribosomal RNA", at positions 338 to 944 of the family's 1533-position model. The record is from RNAcentral.
CCUACGGGAGGCAGCAGUGGGGAAUUUUGGACAAUGGGCGCAAGCCUGAUCCAGCAAUGCCGCGUGAGUGAAGAAGGCCUUCGGGUUGUAAAGCUCUUUUGUCAGGGAAGAAACGGUUGGGGCUAAUAUCCUCGGCUAAUGACGGUACCUGAAGAAUAAGCACCGGCUAACUACGUGCCAGCAGCCGCGGUAAUACGUAGGGUGCAAGCGUUAAUCGGAAUUACUGGGCGUAAAGCGUGCGCAGGCGGUUUUGUAAGUCUGUCGUGAAAGCCCCGGGCUUAACCUGGGAAUUGCGAUGGAGACUGCAAGGCUUGAAUCUGGCAGAGGGGGGUAGAAUUCCACGUGUAGCAGUGAAAUGCGUAGAGAUGUGGAGGAACACCGAUGGCGAAGGCAGCCCCCUGGGUCAAGAUUGACGCUCAUGCACGAAAGCGUGGGGAGCAAACAGGAUUAGAUACCCUGGUAGUCCACGCCCUAAACGAUGUCUACUAGUUGUCGGGUCUUAAUUGACUUGGUAACGCAGCUAACGCGUGAAGUAGACCGCCUGGGGAAGUCGGUCGCAAGNUUAAAACNGAAAGAUGACGNNGAGAGNGCGAGACGACGACGAGGGAGGAGG